AAAAAGAUAAGCUAAACCAAGCUUUCAGGUUCAUACCCUGAAUAUAGGAUUAAUUAUCCUUCUUUUUA
Molecule: transfer RNA, 68 nt
Filed under: Batracomorphus nigromarginattus
Lineage: Eukaryota; Metazoa; Arthropoda; Insecta; Hemiptera; Cicadellidae
Description: tRNA-Met
Source: RNAcentral